CUGCACUGUUCGUAACCUGUUAGCAGCUUUAACUGGUGAUGGGUUCCAUUCCAGUGCUACAGAAAUUCCCAGAAUAAAUACCAGGCUGACUUUGUCAAUCUGAUUUUAUGCAUGGGAGACAAGU
Molecule: small nucleolar RNA, 124 nt
Organism: Choloepus didactylus (southern two-toed sloth)
Lineage: Eukaryota; Metazoa; Chordata; Mammalia; Pilosa; Megalonychidae
Source: RefSeq, a predicted model, not a curated record